RNAcentral lists this ribosomal RNA (483 nucleotides) under uncultured bacterium Riz1029. Its description in RNAcentral is "bacterial SSU rRNA". It matches the Rfam family "Bacterial small subunit ribosomal RNA", at positions 8 to 472 of the family's 1533-position model. The record is from RNAcentral.
AGAGUUUGAUCAUGGCUCAGAAUCAACGCCGGCGGCGUGCCUAACACAUGCAAGCCGAACGCGAAAGUCCCGCAAGGGAUGAGUAGAGUGGCAAACGGGUGAGUAACACGUGGGUGACCUGCCCUCGAGCGGGGGAUAANGUCCCGAAAGGGACGCUAAUACCGCAUGACAUCCUGCCUUUGAACAGGCGGAGAUCGAAGNUGGGGNUCGCAAGACCUAGCACUCGAGGAGGGGCCCGCGCCUGAUUAGCUAGUUGGUGAGGUAACGGCUCACCAAGGCUUCGAUCAGUAUCCGGCCUGAGAGGGCGGACGGACACACUGGGACUGAGACACGGCCCAGACUCCUACGGGAGGCAGCAGUGGGGAAUUGUUCGCAAUGGGCGCAAGCCUGAUGACGCAACGCCGCGUGGAGGAUGAAGACCUUCGGGUCGUAAACUCCUUUCGAUCGAGACGAAUGGCCUCCUUGGUGAACAAUGGCCCNGGA